This 1924-nucleotide long non-coding RNA is filed under the name Fukomys damarensis (Damara mole-rat). RNAcentral's name for it is "lncRNA (ENSFDAG00000032955.1)". The record is from RNAcentral. Lineage: Eukaryota; Metazoa; Chordata; Mammalia; Rodentia; Bathyergidae.
UCCUCAGGUGCCCUCAAGUGCUCCAGAUGCCUGAGCUUUGACACAUCUCCAGUGGCCCAUACAAUAUGAUUAAUAUUAGUGUUAUCUCUAAGGUAGUUUUCAACCUGAAAAGACUGAGAUCAGGAGACAGAGGAAACAGUUCUUAAAAUUCUGACAGGAGUAGUAUAGACCCAACUUGAUUCUGCUUCCGUGGCCCCAAACCCAUGCAGGAGACUGUGGGCCUCUGUUCAGCCCAGAGCAGAAAGCAGCCGAGAGGGGAACUUAGGUGAAUAAGGAAAGGAGGACAGCAAAAGGCAUUAAGAUAGGCAGAAGGAGGCCAGAGCAGAGAGAGGCAGGUGUCUGCUGCCUGGGCCAAGGGUAUUAUUGCCUCCAAAAUUUGAUGUGUACACACAGAUGACCUGGAAACUAGCAGUGAGUUGGCUGGGGCAGAGCACAGCUAGGAAUGAGCAGCAUGCAGGCAAGGGAAGGGUCAGGAGAGAAGAGGUGGAGAAGCAAAAGAAAAGGAGGGAGUGUGCUUUGAUUGGAAUGUGUCUCCCAAAAUUCAUGGGUUGGAAAUGUAAUUCCUCAUGUGACAGUGUCAGGAGAUAAGACCUUUAAGAGGUGAUUGGGUCCUGGAGGCGCUGCCCUCAUGAAUUGAUUAAGGCUGUUAUCAUGGAGUUGUUAUAAAGGGGAGAGUUCAGUCCCCAUCCUCUGUGUCUCACAUCCCCACCUUCCCUCCCACCUCUUGCCAUGGGCUGAAAUAGCAGGAGGGCCCUGGCCAGAUGUUGGUGCCACAUCCUUGGACAUCCAGCCUCCAGAGCCGUGAGCCGACAAACUUCCAUUUUUAUAACUGACCUGAUCUCAAGUAUGCUGUUACAGCAGCACACAUGGAUUAAAACGGAGGAUAAGAAGAAGUUGAUUUAGAAAAGCAGUUUUAAAAAAAAGAGGAAAGGCAAGAAAAGAGGAAAGACCUCGUGCCCUUUUCCUUCUUGAAAACCUUCCAAGAAUCCCCAUGGCCCGGAAGGGACAAGCCUUUUCCCAGGCAAUGUCCUCUAGAAUCUGUUGGCAUCAUCUUUUGCCCUGUACUCACACUAGCCCAGCUUCAGAUGAGACACUGGGGUUCUACCUUCACAUUUUUGCCCUGGACUCUUUCUUUUCUCAGAAAACAACUGUGCAUCCUUCAAAUAGCACCUCUUCUGGAGAGCCUUCCUGCAGUCCUCAAGGCAAGCUCACUGAAUUUCUCCCUUAUCUGCCAAGAAAUGUCUACUUUUAAGAUUAUGCUGCAGUGAGACUGAAAAUGGCGGUGGGAGCUGUCCAAGGAGAAAUGGAAUCAGGCCAUGUGUCCAAUUUAAGGAAGUGGGGCCUGGGCCUGAGAACCCCAAGUUCCUGUGGACUUCCAAGUCAUACAGCCAGGAUCCAGGUAAGGAAUACAUGAACGAGGAUAGAUCUAGUACCCUGGGGAAAGGGAGGAAGGAGGCCUCUGAAAAAGAAAUGACAUGGAGGCAGGAGUGGGUUGUGUCAAGUCACUGCACUGAAAUGAUGAAUCAUGCCUGUGAUGGCUCACAUAGCAAGCCUCCAUCGCUGUUUACAGGGGCUAAUGAGGCAUCUGCAGUUACAAAUUCAAGGAGACUGAAUGUUGCUGUGGCUGAGGUGGAAACAAGAAGUCUGAACUGAAAAAAAAAAAAACAAGAGAAACUGGAGGUUGCCUUUUCUAUUAUCUGCCACAAAGAAAAAUUGGACCGAAACCAUUUCUUUGGGAUGUUGAACCUUUUCCCAAACCAUCUUCGAGCAACUCCACAACCUCCCUAGGUACUUCUCCUAGCUGUUCUUGGAUCCCUUAGCCGGAUCCCUAUGACUUCUGUUUCAUUUUUCAUUAUUUUUCACUGCGUGGUGAAGAUGGAAAACAGGCCUCUAUGCCUACCCUAACACCAUCCCUGCAUCUACC